RNAcentral lists this long non-coding RNA (582 nucleotides) under Manacus vitellinus (golden-collared manakin). RNAcentral describes it as "lncRNA (ENSMVIG00005008607.1)". Lineage: Eukaryota; Metazoa; Chordata; Aves; Passeriformes; Pipridae. The record is from RNAcentral.
UUUGUUCCAAAAGAAAGCCAAGAAGGACGGUGUUAAUAAAGAGAGAUUUAACUGAGGGCUGUGCUUGGAAUAAAGUGGACUACAAAAAGGUCAAAUUUGAUCAGUUGGAGCAGAUUACAAGGGCUUUAAAAGGUAGUGGUGAAGAAAUGAAACUGGGACUGUGAAGCAAUAUAGCACAAGAUUGAUUUUGGGGGUGGAGAGAAGCUGGGACAAGUGCUUAUCAGCUUGAGAAGGAGGAAGAGCUGUGCCGGGUUUGUUGUCAUUCCCACACUGAGUAGAGUACUUGCUGCUUUUGUGGUUAGCCUUCCCUGCCGUGGUUGUUCUUCCUUUUUUUAUUUUAACUUAUAUAUAUUUUAUUGUUAUUAUUACUACAAUGGUGUCUAUAAUCUCUGACUUGGAUCCUCUGAAAAGCUGGAAAGUUUUAAGUACAGCACCCUUUCCUUGGACUGUAGGAUUUGACUUCCUGCUUCUACAUGUGCCACAGAGCUCCAGGAGACACUCCAAAAGACCAUAAGGAAAGUCAGUGCUUACUGAGAUCUUAUCUUUAUGCUUACCUGUGACACUGGUAACAUGCAAGUCAGA